ACACUUCUCUGAUGGGAAUUCAGUACAUCCAUUCCUCUUUGGUUUUAGCCAUCGCCCCUGGGUCUGGCCAGAGCCCCCACAAAGCUCUUCUGUAGCCUUUCUCUUUGGCUCACAGAAGCUCAAAGCAAUAACUGAGGCACAACUCUGGCAGUCGUACAGGACUCUGGCCUUUUUCCUUGGUCUUAUCUUUUAGGUAUGCAUGAAUUUUCUCUGCUUGAUUCUUAUUUUAUUUUAUAUUUAUUUAUUUAUUUAUUUUUGAGACGGAAUCUUGCUCUGUCGCCCAGGCUGGAGUGCGGUGGCGCAAUCUCAGCUCACUGCAAGCUCCGCCUCCCGGGUUCACGCUAUUCUCCAGCUCAGCCUCCCAAGUAGCUGGGACUACAGGCACCGGCCACCACUCCCGGCUAAUUUUUUUGUAUUUUU
Molecule: long non-coding RNA, 420 nt
Filed under: Pan troglodytes (chimpanzee)
Lineage: Eukaryota; Metazoa; Chordata; Mammalia; Primates; Hominidae
Description: long non-coding RNA NONPTRT003087
Source: RNAcentral